This 2190-nucleotide ribosomal RNA is filed under the name Mycoplasmopsis arginini. Its description in RNAcentral is "bacterial LSU rRNA". The stretch from base 1 to 1496 matches the Rfam family "Bacterial small subunit ribosomal RNA". Lineage: Bacteria; Bacillati; Mycoplasmatota; Mycoplasmoidales; Metamycoplasmataceae. The record is from RNAcentral.
GGAUGAACGCUGGCUGUGYGCCUAAUACAUGCAUGUCGAGCGAGGUUCUUUUGAACCUAGCGGCGAAUGGGUGAGUAACACGUGCUUAAUCUACCCUUUAGAUUGGAAUACCCAAUGGAAACAUUGGCUAAUGCCGGAUACGCAUGGAAUCGCAUGAUUCCGUUGUGAAAGGAGCCUUUAAAGCUCCGCUAGAGGAUGAGGGUGCGGAACAUUAGUUAGUUGGUAGGGUAAUGGCCUACCAAGACUAUGAUGUUUAGCCGGGUCGAGAGACUGAACGGCCACAUUGGGACUGAGAUACGGCCCAAACUCCUACGGGAGGCAGCAGUAGGGAAUAUUCCACAAUGAGCGAAAGCUUGAUGGAGCGACACAGCGUGCACGAUGAAGGUCUUCGGAUUGUAAAGUGCUGUUAUAGGGAAAGAACACCUGGUUGAGGAAAUGCUUCCAGGCUGACGGUACCCUGUCAGAAAGCGAUGGCUAACUAUGUGCCAGCAGCCGCGGUAAUACAUAGGUCGCAAGCGUUAUCCGGAAUUAUUGGGCGUAAAGCGUUCGUAGGCUGUUUAUUAAGUCUGGAGUCAAAUCCCAGGGCUCAACCCUGGCUCGCUUUGGAUACUGGUAAACUAGAGUUAGAUAGAGGUAAGCGGAAUUCCAUGUGAAGCGGUGAAAUGCGUAGAUAUAUGGAAGAACACCAAAGGCGAAGGCAGCUUACUGGGUCUAUACUGACGCUGAGGGACGAAAGCGUGGGGAGCAAACAGGAUUAGAUACCCUGGUAGUCCACGCCGUAAACGAUGAUCAUUAGUCGGUGGAGAGUUCACUGACGCAGCUAACGCAUUAAAUGAUCCGCCUGAGUAGUAUGCUCGCAAGAGUGAAACUUAAAGGAAUUGACGGGGACCCGCACAAGCGGUGGAGCAUGUGGUUUAAUUUGAAGAUACGCGGAGAACCUUACCCACUCUUGACAUCCUUCGCAAUGCUAUAGAGAUAUAGCGGAGGUUAACGGAGUGACAGAUGGUGCAUGGUUGUCGUCAGCUCGUGUCGUGAGAUGUUUGGUCAAGUCCUGCAACGAGCGCAACCCCUAUCUUUAGUUACUAACGAGUCAUGUCGAGGACUCUAGAGAUACUGCCUGGGUAACUGGGAGGAAGGUGGGGAUGACGUCAAAUCAUCAUGCCUCUUACGAGUGGGGCAACACACGUGCUACAAUGGUCGGUACAAAGAGAAGCAAUAUGGCGACAUGGAGCAAAUCUCAAAAAGCCGAUCUCAGUUCGGAUUGGAGUCUGCAAUUCGACUCYAUGAAGUCGGAAUCGCUAGUAAUCGCAGAUCAGCUACGCUGCGGUGAAUACGUUCUCGGGUCUUGUACACACCGCCCGUCACACCAUGGGAGCUGGUAAUACCCAAAGUCGGUUAGCUAACCUCGGAGGCGACCGCCUAAGGUAGGACUGGUGACUGGGGUGAAGUCGUAACAAGGUAUCCCUACGAGAACGUGGGGAUGGAUCACCUCCUUUCAUACGGAGUACAUAAAUGUUAUGGAAAAAUUAUUUGUAUCCAGUUUUGAGAGACCUAUCUCUCAAUUUGUUCUUUGAAAACUGAAUAUCGACAUUGAAAAAUUAAAUUUAUUAAUAUUUCAAAGUUUAGAUCAACCUAUAGAAUAUAUCAUACAAUAGACAAACAAUAGGUCUUAUACUACUAUUAAACAAGAUAAGAGUUUUUGGUGGAUGCCUUGGGUCUGGAAGUCGAUGAAGGACGUGAUUACCUGCGAUAAGCCUCGGUUAGCUGGAAAUGAGCUGUGAUCCGGGGAUUUCCGAAUGGGGAAACCUAAUUGAGCUAAUCCUCAAUUAUCAUAUCGAUGAAUACAUAGUCGAAUGAAGAGACACGCUGUGAAUUGAAACAUCUCAGUAGCAGCAGGAAGAGAAAAUAAAGAAUGAUUCCCUCAGUAGUGGCGAGCGAACGGGGAAGAGCCCAAACCAACAUUCGUUGUUGGGGUUAUAGGACUACAUUUUAGAGUUACAAAAUUUACAUAUAGCAGAAUAAGUUGGAAUGCUUAAACAUAGAGGGUGAAAUUCCCGUAAGCGAAAUGUGUAGAUCUCUUUGUAGUAUCCUGAGUAGGGCGGGGCACGUGAAACCCUGUCUGAAUUUGCCGGGACCACCCGGUAAGGCUAAAUACUAACCAGACACCGAUAGUGAACUAGUACCGUGAGG